CCCGGCACAAGCGGUGGAGCAUGUGGUUUAAUUCGAUGGUACGCGAGGAACCUUACCUGGGUUUGACAUACAGUGUGAUAGGUCAGAGAUGAUCUAGCGUAGCAAUACGACGCUGUACAGGUGCUGCAUGGCCGUCGUCAGCUCGUGCCGUGAGGUGUUGGGUUAAGUCCCGCAACGAGCGCAACCCCUACUGCCAGUUACUAACAGGUGAAGCUGAGGACUCUGGCGGAACUGCCGGUGACAAACCGGAGGAAGGUGGGGAUGACGUCAAAUCAUCAUGCCCCUUAUGUCCUGGGCCACACACGUGCUACAAUGGCCGGUACAGAGGGAAGCGAAGCCGUGAGGUGGAGCAAAUCCCAAAAAGCCGGUCUCAGUUCGGAUUGCAGGCUGCAACCCGCCUGCAUGAAGUCGGAAUCGCUAGUAAUCGCAGGUCAGCAUACUGCGGUGAAUACGUUCCCGGGCCUU
RNAcentral lists this ribosomal RNA (465 nucleotides) under uncultured Spirochaetaceae bacterium. Its description in RNAcentral is "bacterial SSU rRNA". It matches the Rfam family "Bacterial small subunit ribosomal RNA", at positions 920 to 1382 of the family's 1533-position model. Lineage: Bacteria; Pseudomonadati; Spirochaetota; Spirochaetia; Spirochaetales; Spirochaetaceae. The record is from RNAcentral.